RNAcentral lists this transfer RNA (73 nucleotides) under Ursus americanus (American black bear). It matches the Rfam family "tRNA". Rfam says of the family: Transfer RNA (tRNA) molecules are approximately 80 nucleotides in length. Their secondary structure includes four short double-helical elements and three loops (D, anti-codon, and T loops). Lineage: Eukaryota; Metazoa; Chordata; Mammalia; Carnivora; Ursidae. RNAcentral also lists the same sequence under 1 other name. The record is from Rfam by way of RNAcentral.
ACCUGGUUGGUUUAGUCGGUAGAGCAUGUGACUCUUGAUCUAGGGGUGGUAGGUUCGAGCCCCACAUUGGGUG